This is a long non-coding RNA of Triticum aestivum (bread wheat), 3004 nucleotides long. RefSeq lists it as uncharacterized. Lineage: Eukaryota; Viridiplantae; Streptophyta; Magnoliopsida; Poales; Poaceae. The transcript has 4 exons. The record is from RefSeq and is a predicted model, not a curated record.
CCGAUCCCCGAUCCGAUCGGUAGCAGGAUGACGGCGGCAGAGUUCCUGGAGGCCGGGAACGGUGGGGAAGUGGCGGAGGUCGGGAUCCAUCCCGACGGUUCGUAGUGGAGGCCGGCGGCGGCGGUGCUCCAUGGCUGUGGCGACUAGGUCUUCUGGGAAGAAGAUACAAGGGAGGGAGACGAGGUGAGAUGGAGAGAAUAGAAGGGAGAAUAGGGACUGCGUGGGUACCUGCUGCUGGUUCGACGGCGGCUCCGAUCAUCGGAUCAGGCCAACUCUUGAUGGAUUUCCAAUGUGUUGCUGGGCUCCCAAUUUUUUCCGUCGUGCAGUUGCUCCCCGUCUCCCUGUGUCGUCCCAAGAUGGUCCGGUUGGGCGCUGUCCUGACGGCUGAGCGUGUGCUAUCCACGGAACACAGCUCCUCCACCUAGGCCCUCCUCCGUAACGCCGGCGAGGACACUACUUCGUCUGAACCGAUUAUCACAACCACGCACAGGAGCUCUAUGGCACAUGUAGCAGGUCUUGGGCAUGAUGGCCGGACGCGAUGAGGAGGACAUACUGGAUCCCCAUGGACGCCAAGGAUUCGAGGACAUUGGCAGAUGCAGAGGAGGCAAUGAGGACGGAGAUGAUUGCGGCACACAAUUUAAAUAAACUAGAAUAUCCUGAAAAUUAUAUUUGGUGUAUAGAAUUCAGUUUUAGUCUUUGAGUACAUUUUCAUGAUUCGCUUAUUCCAGUAGUGAGUAAAAAUAUGUAAAACUACGUGACUUGUAAAUUUUUGAGUCUGUUGUGCGUCCCAACGAUUCCACCAGCAUCGGCCCUCCCCUACCGUGGUGCGGACUGCAGUAUUAGCGGUCUCAUUGGAGUCCUGAAGCAGCUCAAGGGCAUCGUCCUUGGUGCGCCUCCUCAAGGCUUGAUGCUUUCUACAGGAAAAAUGAUUCUUUUCUUUGAGAUGAGGAAAAUUACUUCCCUUUCUACAGGAAAAGAUGGUUCUGUUAGAUAAAUGUCUUCCCAAGUUAAAGGCACAUGGCUCCAAAGUACUAAUAUUCUCUGAGGGGCACCAUAACAUAUGAAAAUUUUGAAGAGCUUUGUGAAGAUUUGUGGGAGCAGCUCCGACUCCAAUUAAAGAAGUUCCACGCAGCGGGCAUGAAGAUUGGUCACAUCUAUAUGUUUAGUUGUGCUGCAGGUGAUUAUACUCUUCAUUGAAGACUUAUAGUUUGAGGGGAUGUAAUAGUAAUGCAGGAAUGUUGCAUUGUUCCUUUCUACCAUCGACCAUCAUUACUUACUUUUUAAUGUUCUUCUUGCUAUUGGCUGGUAGCUUUUAGUAGCAAUUUGGAUAAUUUUGUGCAUAAUAUUCUGUCUGGUUUUGGGGCAAGAAAGGUCGGGGAUUCUGUUGUGGGUGGAUCAUGGCCUCCAGAACAAUGCACACUAUACAGUAGCCUGAGCAAGUUAUGGGCGGUGCCUUCAAAUGGUUGUUAAAUUGUUGCUCUUUUUCUAUAUGGAUUAAUGUGAAGCACCUAAAAUUUCUCUUUUGAGGAAUAUAUGUCUCUUUUUGUUCGAUUUGAGUUCUUGCUCUCCCAGUUCAGAACAUUUAGGACGUGAUUUUGGAGAAACUUCGAGAGUAGGAAUAAGUCGUCGUCGUCGUAUUCAAGUUUGUAAUUAAAAUGAUUUAGAGUAGGAACCAGAGCUGGGAUUGUUACUUUUUAUGUAAUAAAAUGGGUUCUAUAAGAAUUGUUUUUUUUUCACAAAGGUGGGGAUUCAACUCUGUAGCUAGAAAAUUGCUAGAGCGUACUUGAAUUGUUGAAAGCGUGGAUCAUGUCCUAUAGUAGCUAUAUUUGAUUUACAACCAGAGUUCACUUGUAAUUAUAGGAUGAAACUUUAUAUUAUUUUGCCAUCUUAUUUCAUUUGUAAAAGUAGCUGCAACAAGUAGCAGUUUGAAUUGAUGCAAGCAAGUAAGCAACGCUUUGAUUGGAAAAUUUGUGUGUUGGCAUAGGCUGAAGCAAGCACCUCUUCGUUUUGAAUAAGUAGUUGGUGCAGCUCGCUAUAGCAAGCCCCAGAUUAACUUAAUGCUAGCAAUUACUUGAGUCCUUGAUCUGCUCUUGGCAAUUGGGUAAACAAGCGCUUCUUUGAUCUGUAUGCCUGAAUCUUUAGUUUGUGCAGCUAGCUGCUAGCAAGUAAUUAAAGCCUUGAUCUGCUCUUGCCGACAAAAUAAUCUUGGAAGAAACAUCCAGAUCACUCCACUAUGGGCCCAUCCAGUAGCUUAUGCAUCCUAUUGUUAGCUUUUCAAGAUUAUCUAUCACUCCACUAUUUACUAUAUUGUUAUAACCGCUCCAUGUUCCAUUGAACUCCAUGCUGAUUGCAUCUUUGCAAAGUCUGGAAUAUUGUAUAAACAAGGUAAUUGUUGGAGUUUUAACUUCAAUUUUUGUUGUUGUUACACAAAAUGUUGCCUCCAUCGACCUUUUGCCGAAAGACCAUUAGCCAUCGCCUAGACCUACUUUGCUGCAGGUUCUUUUUUUCUUUGUGCAAAUUAUGAUUGAGCUAUGUUUGUUUUACAGUGAUUUACAGCCAGGGUUUACAGAUUGAUUUGAGAAAGUAUUUAACGCAAUUGGUCUCUUGGCAUAGGCUCAAGUAUAAAACCGAUAUGUAAUAUCUCCAUAUGUUUGUGCAAAUUGAUUUUGUAAGCUACUCUGAAAACUUUAUUAUUUUUUCACUAUUGAUGUACUUGGUGCUAACUUCCAUUUUCUCUCAACAGGACAUGUGCUAUUCUGAAAAUGGAGCUUCUCUAUUGGAUGGCAGCUCAUGAUGGUAGUUUCAGAUAUGAAGCUAAGGAAAGCGUGCCUCAUAAUUCAUUAGAUAUAUCCCAGUAGGGCCAAUUAGAUAUUGUUGGUUGUAAAUGACAUGAGUUUUUAGCUUUCAUAAAAUCUAGAUUUGUACUCUUUAACAAUAAGCUGUGGAGGAGAGUGGUCUUAAAUGUGCUGGUUGAAUUUACCAAUGUUGGUUAUUUUGGUUUUAC